CCUACGGGAGGCAGCAGUGAGGAAUAUUGGUCAAUGGGCGCGAGCCUGAACCAGCCAAGUCGCGUGAGGGAAGACGGUCCUAUGGAUUGUAAACCUCUUUUGUCGGGGAGCAAAGGACGCCACGCGUGGCGUUCUGAGAGUACCCGAAGAAAAAGCAUCGGCUAACUCCGUGCCAGCAGCCGCGGUAAUACGGGGGAUGCGAGCGUUAUCCGGAUUUAUUGGGUUUAAAGGGUGCGCAGGCGGAAGAUUAAGUCAGCGGUAAAAUUGGGGGGCUCAACCUCUUCGAGCCGUUGAAACUGGUUUUCUUGAGUGAGUGAGAAGUAUGCGGAAUGCGUGGUGUAGCGGUGAAAUGCAUAGAUAUCACGAAGAACUCCGAUUGCGAAGGCAGCAUACCGGCGCUCAACUGACGCUGAUGCACGAAAGUGUGGGUAUCGAACAGGAUUAGAUACCCUAGUAGUC
Molecule: ribosomal RNA, 459 nt
Filed under: uncultured bacterium
Lineage: Bacteria
Description: partial 16S ribosomal RNA
Rfam family: Bacterial small subunit ribosomal RNA
Source: RNAcentral